CUAUAUGGUGGCUGUGUUUGGGACGCCCUCGGGCGUGCCGGGAUGUGAGCCUCAUCGGUUGACCAACCCGAACACAGUCCGCCUCCUAU
RNAcentral lists this non-coding RNA (89 nucleotides) under Pseudomonas frederiksbergensis. Lineage: Bacteria; Pseudomonadati; Pseudomonadota; Gammaproteobacteria; Pseudomonadales; Pseudomonadaceae. The record is from RNAcentral.